RNAcentral lists this long non-coding RNA (243 nucleotides) under Monodelphis domestica (gray short-tailed opossum). RNAcentral describes it as "lncRNA (ENSMODG00000043786.1)". Lineage: Eukaryota; Metazoa; Chordata; Mammalia; Didelphimorphia; Didelphidae. The record is from RNAcentral.
GAAUCUGACUUUUGUAACCCAUGGUUAUUAUUGUUCAGUUGCUUUUCAGUUGUGUCUGACUCUUUGUGACCCAAUUUGUUUUUUUUUUUUUUUGGCAAAGAUACUGGAGUAGUUUGUCAUUUCCUUCCUGUGCUCAUUUUACAGACAAGGCAACUGAGGAGUCAUCUUGGUUGAGGAGUGGCAAUGGAACUGUGUAAAGUGAGAAUCCUAUUCCUGGUGGUCCAGGGUCUCAAGAGAUGCUUC